Molecule: small RNA, 888 nt
Filed under: Paraconiothyrium cyclothyrioides
Lineage: Eukaryota; Fungi; Ascomycota; Dothideomycetes; Pleosporales; Didymosphaeriaceae
Description: eukaryotic LSU rRNA
Rfam family: Eukaryotic large subunit ribosomal RNA
Source: RNAcentral
GCGGAGGAAAAGAAACCAACAGGGAUUGCCCUAGUAACGGCGAGUGAAGCGGCAACAGCUCAAAUUUGAAAUCUGGCUCUCUUUGGGGGUCCGAGUUGUAAUUUGCAGAGGAUGCUUUGGCAUUGGCGGCGGUCUAAGUUCCUUGGAACAGGACAUCGCAGAGGGUGAGAAUCCCGUACGUGGGCGCCUGCCUUUGCCGUGUAAAGCUCCUUCGACGAGUCGAGUUGUUUGGGAAUGCAGCUCUAAAUGGGAGGUAAAUUUCUUCUAAAGCUAAAUACCGGCCAGAGACCGAUAGCGCACAAGUAGAGUGAUCGAAAGAUGAAAAGUACUUUGGAAAGAGAGUCAAAAAGCACGUGAAAUUGUUGAAAGGGAAGCGCUUGCAGCCAGACUUGCCCGCAGUUGCUCACCUAGGCUUUGGCCUGGGGCACUCUUCUGCGGGCAGGCCAGCAUCAGUUUGGGCGGUCGGACAAAGGCCUCUGUCAAGUAUCUCCCUUCGGGGUGACCUUAUAGGGGAGGCGUAAUGCGACCAGCCCGGACUGAGGUCCGCGCAUCUGCUAGGAUGCUGGCGUAAUGGCUGUAAGCGGCCCGUCUUGAAACACGGACCAAGGAGUCUAACAUCUAUGCGAGUGUUUGGGUGUCAAGCCCGGGCGCGCAAUGAAAGUGAACGGAGGUGGGAACCCUUUGGGUGCACCAUCGACCGAUCCUGAUGUCUUCGGAUGGAUUUGAGUAAGAGCAUAGCUGUUGGGACCCGAAAGAUGGUGAACUAUGCUUGAAUAGGGUGAAGCCAGAGGAAACUCUGGUGGAGGCUCGCAGCGGUUCUGACGUGCAAAUCGAUCGUCAAAUUUGGGCAUAGGGGCGAAAGACUAAUCGAACCAUCUAGUAGCUGGU